This 330-nucleotide long non-coding RNA is filed under the name Theobroma cacao (cacao). RNAcentral describes it as "long non-coding RNA (TCAC_LNC002100)". Lineage: Eukaryota; Viridiplantae; Streptophyta; Magnoliopsida; Malvales; Malvaceae. The record is from RNAcentral.
GGGUGGCUUUUGGCUUUUGGCGAUGUGGUCCUGUCAAAUAAUUGGGGUGGUAGAUGGUAGAUGCUGAAUCUGCAGAGACUUCCGGUGAUGCCAAACAUCGCAUCCUUUUCACGGGGAAGGGUUAGGAAACUGUGCCUUUAGGUUCUGGUCAUUGUCUUCAUGGGAAAUAUGCAUUUGCCAAGUGAAGCUGAGGAUGAGAAUAGAGAUCACCAUCAUCACCACAUACAAAACAGGUUGAGGAAAUUGAUUGAACGAAAGGACUUGAAUAUAUGGAAUUGAAAGGAGAAAAGAUUCUAACCCUGGAUGCAGUUAAGUGUCUUGUUGUACAUU